GGAGCUUGCUCCCUGAUGUUAGCGGCCCCCUAAAGAGUAACACGUGGGUAACCUGCCUGUAAGACUGGGACCUUUCCGGGAAACCGGGGCUAAUACCGGAUGGUUGUCUGAACCGCAUGGUUCAGACAUAAAAGGUGGCUUCGGCUACCACUUACAGAUGGACCCGCGGCGCAUUAGCUAGUUGGUGAGGUAACGGCUCACCAAGGCAACGAUGCGUAGCCGACCUGAGAGGGUGAUCGGCCACACUGGGACUGAGACACGGCCCAGACUCCUACGGGAGGCAGCAGUAGGGAAUCUUCCGCAAUGGACGAAAGUCUGACGGAGCAACGCCGCGUGAGUGAUGAAGGUUUUCGGAUCGUAAAGCUCUGUUGUUAGGGAAGAACAAGUGCCGUUCAAAUAGGGCUGUUCCUUGACGGUACCUAACCAGAAAGCCACGGCUAACUACGUGCCAGCAGCCGCGGUAAUACGUAGGUGGCAAGCGUUGUCCGGAAUUAUUGGGCGUAAAGGGCUCGCAGGCGGUUUCUUAAGUCU
RNAcentral lists this ribosomal RNA (531 nucleotides) under Bacillus thuringiensis. RNAcentral's name for it is "bacterial SSU rRNA". It matches the Rfam family "Bacterial small subunit ribosomal RNA", at positions 75 to 590 of the family's 1533-position model. The record is from RNAcentral. Lineage: Bacteria; Bacillati; Bacillota; Bacilli; Caryophanales; Bacillaceae.